Molecule: long non-coding RNA, 1140 nt
Organism: Triticum dicoccoides
Lineage: Eukaryota; Viridiplantae; Streptophyta; Magnoliopsida; Poales; Poaceae
Exons: 2
Source: RefSeq, a predicted model, not a curated record
UGUAUAACACUUAAAAAAAAACUGUAUAACAAACGCUACCCUACCCAUCAGCAUCAGGCCAGCCUUGGCGAGAGCAAACGAAGGGGGAGAAAGCAGAUCGGCGCCGGCGGCGACUCCGCUGAUCCACAGGCCGACUCGGAGCUUCCGCUGGAGCAUACACGCACAUAAAUAUGGGUCUGGAGAUCGCCUGAGCUUCUACCGAAUCACGUCGAUUCCGCCGGACGCCAUUUGCCAAUGCACACCCUGAUGAACAGCUCGAUGAAGGUCACCCAUGUCAACAUGGAAACAGAGGUGCCCGAGCUUCUCCUUCCACCAAAUCACGUCGAUUCCAACGGACGCCUUUUGCCAAAGCACACCCCGAUGAAGAUCACCGAUGUGGAUAUGAAAAUAGAGGCGCUAACAAAUUACAUCAACCUCAGACGAGCAGGAGGAGAGGGGGGCGGUAUGAAGAACAUGGGGAACAAGAAGACCAAGAAGAAGAUUUUCCGUGUGCCGCAGGACGAGCUGGAUGAGAUUCUUUCGUACCAAGCGGCGCCGGCGCCCGCUUGGCAGAGUGCGGCUAAACGCUAUCCCUGGGUCGUCGCUGAGAUGGAGAAGAUCAAGGUGCGCUUUCUCGCCGGGCAGGAGAGGAUGAGGCGGCAGUACGAGGCCCUGGGCUACGCCACGUUUGAAGCGUAGGUCACCGAUGAUGAGCAGGAGGAAGACGCUGCAGUGAUGACUCCUUGCCAGGAGAAUGACGAUGCAGCGGCUACAUCUUCUCCCUGGAUUAUUCCACGGGGAAGAGGCCGAAGAAGGUUUCGUCCGGGGGUCGUCAAGCAAGCAAGCGGCGUUAAGAAAAUAACUUGGGCAUACUAGUUAUUGUUUUUGGUGUGUUUUAGUUUUAGCCGUUGGAUUAGUUCGACACAGUUUAUGGUACUGUAGUGUGUCAUGUAGUAUAACUUAGGCCUAGACUAUGCACUGAUGUGUACACUGUUCUUAACUAUGUGUAAUCCAUGUAUUAGGGUGAUCAUUAGUGCGAGGUAAACCUGUUCAUGGACAACCCGGCCCGAACCCGAAGCCUGACGUUCGGGCCGGGCUUGGGCUCCACUUUCUUACCCAAAAACCCAAAAUAGCCCGAAAUAGCCACAUAUAUAUUCUUCA